Molecule: ribosomal RNA, 1018 nt
Filed under: Cribrostomoides sp. 14870
Lineage: Eukaryota; Foraminifera; Textulariida; Trochamminidae
Description: bacterial SSU rRNA
Rfam family: Eukaryotic small subunit ribosomal RNA
Source: RNAcentral
AAGGGCACCACAAGAACGCGUGGAGCAUGUGGCUUAAUUUGACUCAACGCGGGAAAUCUUACCGGGUCCGGACACACUGAGGAUUGACAGGCAAUAUUAAAAAUAUGUUCAAUUUAUUGAAUUUUAUUUUUAUGUUAAAUAUGCUAGUCCUUUCAUGAUUAUGUGAUAGGUGGUGCAUGGCCGUUCUUAGUUCGUGGAGUGAUCUGUCUGCUUAAUUGCGUUUCACCUAAGGGCUUAUAAAUUACGUGUGUUGCGGCACUUUGACCCCUGGAUUGAAACAUUAUCUAGCGUGUGUCUUAGUUGCUUAGCUCGCACAAUUAAGUCCUGAAAGCAACGAACGUGACCGCAACCUCUUGUUGCCUUUUGCACAAUUCCUGCUUUUAACCUUUAUUGGUUAAUUGAUUUGGAAAAAAGAGGCUUUUAAACUAGAGGGACCGCUGUAAUCUUUUUAAACCAGAGGAAGGUUGCGGCAAUAACAGGUCUGUGAUGCCCUUAGAUGUUCCGGGCUGCACACGUGCUACAAUGAUUAUUGCAGUGAGCAUCUCAUUUUAUUACACCGCUUGCGCGAGACCGUUUUCCCUUCUCCUUUUUGGGGUAGCGCGAAAUUGUGCUCUUUGCGCGCGGUAAAGCCUGCUUCGAAAGUAAGUGGGUAAUCAAUUAGAAGUAAUGAUUUCCUUUUUCGCACACAUAUAUGCGGCGGCUAAUCCCGGGGCUUGCAUUUUGUCUUGCUCUUUUGUGUGUUUAGCCGUUUUUCCGCAUGUGCAAUUGUCAAUUCAUGGUGGGGACAGACCAUUGUUAAUUGUUGGUCUCGGUCUUAACUAGGAAUGCCUUGUACGGGUCUUUGGUUCAACAAACCACCCGGAAUACGUCCCUGCCCUUUGUACACACCGCCCGUCGCUCUUACCGAUGGACUAUACUGUGAGUUUGAGGGACUGGAUAUUUGCUACAUUUAUUUGUGGCAUGCCAUCUAUGGAAACUUAAACGAACAGUGUGGUCUAAAGGAAAGAGAAGUCGAACA